UACGUAGGGUGCAAGCGUUGUCCGGAAUUAUUGGGCGUAAAGAGCUCGUAGGCGGUCUGUCGCGUCGGCUGUGAAAACCCGAGGCUCAACCUCGGGCCUGCAGUCGAUACGGGCAAACUAGAGUACUGCAGGGGAGACUGGAAUUCCUGGUGUAGCGGUGAAAUGCGUAGAUAUCAAGUGGAACACCAGUGGCGAAGGCGAGUCUCUGGACAUUUCCUGACGCUGAGGCACGAAAGCCAGAGGAGCAAACGGG
RNAcentral lists this ribosomal RNA (253 nucleotides) under uncultured bacterium. RNAcentral describes it as "partial 16S ribosomal RNA". It matches the Rfam family "Bacterial small subunit ribosomal RNA", at positions 524 to 776 of the family's 1533-position model. The record is from RNAcentral.